UGAAAAAAAUCUCCUAUGUGGAGAUAGAUUUGUACGCUUUUAUUUACAUUAAUCUGCGAAAGAAAAUACACGUCGUGCUCAGUUGUUGAAGUGGCUUUCUUCCCAGUACUUCAGAGCACACAUAACGUCUAAAACGUAAAAAAAACCAUGUGAAAGAAAUACCAAACAACAUUUUGCAGGGAUUUAGAGGUCAUUAGUGAAAAAGGAAGAAAGGAAAUGGGUACAUCUAAUUUUAAAUGAAAUAACAAGAAUAGUUGAAUAAUUAACAACCAAGCAGCACUCAGCAAUAGUGAUGGUUAAACAAGAUUUAGUGCCUGCCACACAAUUAAGAAAGAAUUAGAGGCAAGAAUGUUUACAGAACAGAGGAGAUUAUUUGUAC
Molecule: long non-coding RNA, 379 nt
Organism: Mytilus trossulus (common blue mussel)
Lineage: Eukaryota; Metazoa; Mollusca; Bivalvia; Mytilida; Mytilidae
Exons: 3
Source: RefSeq, a predicted model, not a curated record